This 326-nucleotide ribosomal RNA is filed under the name uncultured eukaryote. RNAcentral describes it as "partial 18S ribosomal RNA". It matches the Rfam family "Eukaryotic small subunit ribosomal RNA", at positions 1470 to 1796 of the family's 1831-position model. The record is from RNAcentral.
CCCUUAGAUGUUCUGGGCCGCACGCGCGCUACACUGAUGCAUUCAACAAGCCUAGCCUUGACCGAGAGGUCCGGGUAAUCUUUGAGACUGCAUCGUGAUGGGGCUAGAUUAUUGCAAUUAUUAAUCUUCAACGAGGAAUGCCUAGUAAGCGUGAUUCAUCAAAUCGCGUUGAUUACGUCCCUGCCCUUUGUACACACCGCCCGUCGCUCCUACCGAUUGAAUGUGUUGGUGAGGAGCUCGGAUUGGCAGCAGUUGGUGGUUCGCCACCGGCUAUUGCUGAGAAGUCCUCCAAACCGCCCCAUUUAGAGGAAGGAGAAGUCGUAACA